GAGGGAGGGAGGGAGGGAGAAUCCCAAGCAGGCUCUGUGCCAUCAACGCAGAGCCUGUUGUGGGGCUUGAACCCAUGAACUGUGAGAUCAUGACCUGAGCUAAAACCAAGAGUUGGACGCUUAAUGGACUGAGCCACCCAGGCACCCCCAAAAAGGUGUUCUUUAAUCAGAGUUUCAUAGUGGUGAUUCAGAGACCCAGCCUCCUUGUACCCUGUCGCUCUGCCAUGUGGCUCUGCCAUCCUCUCUGUGUGGCUUCCAAAGUGGUUUCGUUUGUGGCAUGAGGACAGUGGAUGUGGAAAGAGCACGGAUUACUGUGCACAGAAGUUCCAUGGACCAGACCUAUGAGUGGUACACAUCCCUUAUAUCCCCUUGUUAGAGUUCAAUGUUGUAGCUAUAUAACUCCAAGGGAACUGGAUGUGAGAGGUCCAAGUGUGCGUCUAGGAAAGACUAGGAAUGUGGCCAGUGGUCUUGACCCCAAGGUGGCUUUGCUGCACCUCUAUGUUGAAAAGCACAACUAAUUUGGCAGCAUUAGAGUGUCCUGUGAGAGGGGAUGUGUUAUUUUGGGUAUAGCCUCAGCAAAAUGGCCUGAAAGUUCUGGCUAGAGUAUUUUGUGGAGCAAAAUAGGAGCAGGUUUCUGAAGGACAGAGAAGUAAAGGCGUGGUCAGGAGAGAGAGCGUCAGCACUGUUCACACGUCUGGGGUCCUUCUCCCUUCUGUAAACUUAUGAGUCUCAUAGGUUGGCUUUUAGUUGGUGAAAUCUCUGCACCUGACCCAGAGUCUCAGCAGGGCACGGGGCACAUCUUCUUCAUAGCUUUGCCGUGGACUGUGGACAGGGGUGGAAGGCCACUGGGCCUUGGGCUCCCAUUUUUCGACCUCAUGUUCACUUGGCCUGCAGGAUCAAACACAUAAGACUCAGCAGUCAGCAGGUUAGAGAAGAGGGUGGAAGAGAGAUGGAGAAGCUGACCAUUGGGGCAAAAGCAGAACACUUUUCUUUUCUCUUGAUCUCUACUCUUUCCCUCAUUUCGCCCCACUGAAUGUAACUUUCCCUCUAAGAGAGUAUUUGUGCAGAUAUCCUCCCUCCUGGGUCCCCUCCAUCAUCCAUGUUAUGUAAAAUGUCAUUGAGGAACAUGCUGUCCAGAAGCUCCGUGGGGAGAAGAGUCACAGGGCCGCCCUCCAGGACAGAUAUGAAGGAGGUGACAUUGUUGGGUACCUUUGCCUUUCAUUUUGUGUUUUUCCGGCAGGUGCCUUUCCUGAGCUUACUUCUAGCUCUCUUGGUUGGAAAAAUACCUGAUAAAGGAAUCUCUCUAAGAUCUUCACUUUCUGUGUGGGGUGAGUAUUUCCAUUGUGUCAGAUUUCUCUUCACUCAUCUUCAGAACAAAUCCUUGUUGAUGGGAUUUCUGAUUCCCCAACAAUUUCUGGAGGUUGUAUCCUGGGCAGAUCCUCCUAGGGGCUCUUUAGAAGCUGUAGAUGCAUCCUUGAGAUGUAUAUUCUUGAGAACAAUGUUUUUCUGGUGAAUUUGGGUGAUUUUACCCAAGCCCUGAGUGGGGUCCAUUUUCCUAUAACCAUUAAACAAAUCACUGGAUAAAUUUGAAAAAGUUCUCAGCUGCCACAAAUAAUUUCCCUUUUAAGUCUGAGAUUUUCGUUUUUAGACAAUGCAACUGAGUUAAGCAAUAGGUAAAUUAUGAAGAUAUUAUUUAGUGGGAGAGAUGAUGACAUUGGAACAUUUGAUCUACACUUCCAAUUGAAAACAGAGGUUCUUAAGAUGUUUGGCAUCAAUAGAUUUGAUGGCACACUGGAAGAGAUUGAGAGUCUCAGAACAGCAUAACAGUUACAGUGCAGUUUCUGUCACAGGAUAAUCAUGCCUCCUGUGUGUAUAACAUUCUUCUCCACCCCCACACUGCUCGCCAGUUUGCCCCAGUAGUGUCCACUUUGGUAGACUGAUUGAUUGCCCUGAACUCCUCUGAUAUACCCACAAGGCAAAAAUUCUUAUGGGUUCUAGUGAACAAACACCUUUAUUUGGAUCCAGAUGAAUUAUGUUCCUUACCUCUUAUUCACAGCACAUCGUCCUCUACUCUAUAACGUUUAAAUUAAAUUAUGGCAGCACACCCAUGCAAGGGCACACCAUGAGUAGUCGCCACUGACUGUGGACCAUUGUGGGUUCUAGAAACGGUUGAACAUACAAAGAUGAACACUGAAUAGCUUGGAAAUAGCAUAAGGUUACCUUCUUUAUGGAGGGUAUUGUGGGUUCAUUUGUGUUUCCCAAAGAGAUAUGUUGAAAUCCUAACUUCUAGUACCUGUGAAUGUGGCUUUAUUUGGAAAUAAGGUCUUUGCUUAUAUAGUCAAGUUCAGUUGAGGUCAUCCUGGAUUACAGUGGGUCCUAAUUCACUGGUGUGCUUGUAAGAAGAAGCACAUUUGUGCACACAGACACACAGGGAGAGUGCUAUGUGAUGACAGAGGCACAGAUUGGAAUGAAUCAGCUGUGAGCCACAGAAUGCCAGGGGCUGUUGGCAAGUGAGGAGAAAGGCAUGGGAUGGAUUCUCCCUCAGAGCUUCCAGAAGGAACCAGCCCUGCCAACACCUUGACUUCAGACUUCCAGCCUCCACACUGAGAGAAAAAAUGUCUGUUGUUUUAAGCUACCCAUUUUGUGGUGCUUUGUUAUGAUGGCCCCACAGGAAACCAGCUCUGAGGGUAAUGUUGAAACCAGUCAUCUCCUCCACCAACUUUAUGUCACAGUUGUGCCUUUUGUCAUGGAGGCCCCGGAUAUACCUACUGGUGGGAAAAGAACUUUGAUGGAAUAUUGUUCCCACUUGGAAGCAAGAGAAAUUCUCUCUCUCCCUGCCCCUACCCUCUCCUUCUCAUUCCUCCUUCCUCCCCCCUUCUCUCUGUUGUCAUCUUCAAAGUUCACUCACUGGUAAAAGGAUCACAAUAAUAUCCAUACUUUCUUUAAAAAUAUGUGUUGAGAGGGGCCUAUGUUUUUCUUCUUUUUCCUUUUCAGGUGCUGAGGUUUUUAGUGAGCCCUGUCUUGUCAGUACUGAAAGGCUUCAAUCAAAUAGCACUUGAACUCUUUUCAAAGACUUGCAAGAUUGAAAAGAUUCCAGCCUGUUGAACGGAGAGUAAUAGGCAACAGAAGAUGAUUUUGGACAAUUUAAGAAGGGAAAUUUAUCAGGAACUCAGCACAUCAACUGGAAAGCUGAGACUCAGGCUUGCAUUGCCAUGUCACGUGAAGCUGCUUCUCCCGAUGAAGCAGAGAUUGAAAUGUCACACCAGCACGAUCAAUUAGAUGAUGUAGAAGAGAGGCAUUUGCUACCUGACCUUAAUCCACAGGGCAAGAAGGGCUGAGUGGAGAAGACUAAAUACAGAGAGACUCAAAGGCAGAGGAAACGGGCAGAGCAUAGUUUAAAUAGGCACAAAGCAGCAUAAAUGUUGAUUCAUGACAAAAAGGGCAUCCUCAGGUUAAAGACUUCUUAUGAUGUAUACUGGUGCACUCGUUCAACUCGGAGUGAGUACAAAGUAAAUAUAAACACCUUUCACACAAGGAAUAUGACAGAAAAGGAAGUAGGAUCCAUUUGGUUGCUUCAAUUGUGAGAUAUCUAUUUAUCACAGCAGUGGAAAACCAGCAGGAGGUUCAGAGGAAAGCCAUGGAAACAUGAGGACCGGGAAAAUGAAAUGCAAACAAGUAUCCUGGGGAGCUGAUGAACCAAUGAUGAACCAAUCAUGAUGCAGGAUACUUCAUAAGUCACCAAACCUCCCUUGGCAGUUUAACAUCUUUUGUUCUAGAAGGUUGUUUCACAGCUGUACCUGAACAUUGGCUCCACUAAAGGAAGAGAAUUGAAAGGGAAUUUGAAUUUCAAAGCCGAACAACAGAAGCAACAGUGUUGCCAUAAUCUGCAGGCUCUAACUUGAACACAGAAAAGCAGGAUGCCUCCUCAGAGACAAACUGCCUUAAGAAAGAAGGAGAUUGUUCCACGGAUGUUAUCAAAGCUUAAUGAACUAAAUAUUGUCCUUCUCUCCAGGGUUCUCGGAUUAAUGCAAGGCUGCAUCCUGGACAGCGAACAUUAGAACAUUAGAACAUUAUACUUUCAGGUAAGCAGGGAAGGGGGCCAGGUGUGCCGGAAAGUCAUCUGGAAGAGUGAGGAUGGUAGAAACACCAAGCUAAAAAAUAAAAUUCGUCAACAUUGUAGAGGUUUUACUGUUACCCUAAAGAUCAUUGCAAAUGUACCAGACAACAACCUCAAAUUGCCAUGACACUAAACAAGCAGGGCUUCUGGAAAAUCAUUGCUUUUCGCUUGCCUGUUUUUCUCGAUUCGACAAAGAAAACAACAUGCAAAUGGGUCUCGGCGUAGUGGCCAAAGGAAAAAGGAAAGCCUCAAACUCAGAAGGUCGUGAGUGUGCGAUGACCUUUAGUUACUUUUCUCCUUUUUAUCUGCUGCUGUUUGUGAUUCAGGAAAAACGGCUCUUCAUGUUGUCCGGGCUAGACCUGCUCUGGCUUUCCUUUCCAUUUUUAAAAGGCUCUCAGCAGAUGCUAUCUUCUGGAAAACAAAACAAAACAAAAACAGCACAAACCCACAGAUCACUCUCCCUCCCUCCCUGUGUAAAACCUGCACGCUCUGAAGUGAGAAAACAGUGGUUCUUCUGUCUUUUUAUUUCUCUGUGCGCAAUGGUAACUUUGGCUGUGUGCUUACGUCUCAUAGAACCUUCUUAUUUUAGGGUAUUUACAUUAUGUUCUUUGUUGCAAAUUCACAUUAGAGAAUAUCGCUAGGGAAGGUUGUACUAAUUACAGCAUAAAUCAUUACAGUGGCUACACAACAGAGGCAGUUGAUAGAUGGAUUAUCGAAAAGGAAACGCUCUAUCAUCAUUUUCUGUUCUCUUGGCAGAAAUGCCAUUUGUAUGAGGCAAGCAGGUCUGGUUAGUUCUGUUGCUGAUUUUAAUCCUUCCUAUUUUUCCUUCCUUCUUGCCUCCUCCCCCGCCCCUCCCAUUCUCAGCCUGCUAUGCAGUGGUUCUAAGGUAUAAAGACGUCCCAGAGUCCAGUAUUUGCCCACUUAAUAUAGAAAGAAGGACACGGGCUUAGGUCUGCUGCUUUCGUUAAGAUCAACUUGUGUAGCUGCAUUUUAGCUCAUGGACACAGAAUCAAACUUCUAAAAAUGUUUGGUUUCCAUGUUUACUCCACUCGAUGUGAUUCUUGGUAGUGUCUGACUCAUUGUGUCACACAGAUCUUUCCACAUAUUUUAACAUGUAUUUCCCUCCAGUCCUUGUUGAAUUAAAUUUCAGUGCUCCUUAGUUCUUGCUGAUGAUUCUUUUUCAGGAAUGGUGUAAUAGUAAAUUAAAAAAAACAAAACAAAACAAAAACACAGUUCCUGGGAAAUCUGACAUUUUUAAGGCGUGUUUUGAUUUUGCAAGAAAAUGAGUGUGACUUUUUUUUCAGUCCCUGCCCAGCUAUUUGAGAAAAAUCAGAAAGUGGAAGCUAGAUAGGGGCUAACAUGUGUCCCAGUGUGUGAUGAGGAAUAGUCAAUAAUCACUUGUGAAGCCCCUGGAGUUUGCCUGUCACUAUGGAGACAAAUAAUAAUGUAUCUGUAAUAUUGUAUCGGUAAUAUUAUCAAUAAUAUUAGCUGGGGUUGUGAACACCUUUGGUUUUGAAAUGAGCUUUGAAACCCAAGGGUAAUAAGAAUAGAGCAACCGGGAGUUCAGGACUCACAAAACAUGUAUACCUUGGAGUGAGGGAAAGACCCACGUCUAUUUGUUCAGCUUGCAGAAGAAGAGAUCAAAAUGAGAUGUGAAAAAGGGAGCAGGCUCUGUCCCCAUUGUCCCUCAAGGCCUUCUAGAAAUAGUCUAGCAGAAGUUGGGUGACUAAGCUUCUGGAAUGUUCAUGCAGAAUUCUUUCACUGGGUGAGAGCAUGGGGCAGAUGGUAUCUGUGGUCUGUCCAUUAGACAUGGAGAGAAUUCAAGUCACCCAGUGGACAAAAGCACAGGAUGUCAUCGGGGCCGAAGCUGGCAGUCUGGCAUUGAGACUUUCUGGUGGCGUGGGGCUCUCACCCCAUUUCACAUAGUGGUUCCCCUUGCUCCCGGUUUGCUGUGAGCUGUGAGGGUGUGGUCCCAGUUCACAGCCAGGGAAGUCAGCAAGCAGGCACCAGGGGAGGGGGCUGCUAGGAGCCAGGAGCACCCAGGCUACUGUCACAAGUCAGGGUCGCAUAUUUUGUCUGGUCAGACGGUGCGGGGAAUUUGUUUAUCGUUACCAGGCCUAAGUUAUUCUUCCAUUAGGAUCACAAGAGUUUCCUCUUGCUCAUUUUAGAGAAGUGAGGAGGGUGAAAGUUCAAGGUGUUUGUGGAGAUUGCCAAAGAACACUCUUCUAAAAGCUAGUGAGGCCCCAAGCACAGUGUGAACGGAAUACCAAACAUCAGUUAAGAUCUGUGUGUCAUCCAGGGCGUCAGCUGUCAUGGAGAUUUUCACUAUAUUGUCACUAAGGCAUCACAGAGACAGCCUAGUCCUGGAAUGGCUUUGGUAUCGGUAGCAAAGCCGAUAGGAAGAAAAGAAAAGGCAAGUGUGGGCUUCGGAGAGUGAGAGCGAUGUAUGAGAAAUACAUGGAUGUAUGGGGAGGUGGAGGAGAGAAAUCACUGCGGGAUGGGAAUUUGAAGCAUGGAAAUAGGAAAAGAAAAAGAGACAUUCUUUGGAUGCUAACAGAUCAACUAAAAAAUGAGAUUGACUAGGGCACCUGGGUGGCUCAGUCAGUUAAGCAUCUGACUCUGGAUUUUGGCUCAGGUCAUGAUCCCAGGGUCAUGAGAUCGAGCCCCGUGUUGGGCUCUGUGCUGGGUGUGGAGCCUGCCUGGGAAUCUCUCUUUCCCUCUCCCUGUGCCCCUCUCUCACUCUGUCUCUCUCUCUGAAAGAAAGAAAGAAAGAAAGAAAGAAAGAAAGAAAGAAAGAAAGAGAGAAAGAAAGAAAGAGAGAAAGAAAGAAAGAGAGAGAGAAAGAAAAUGAGAUUGGCUUAUAGAAACAGAGAUCCCUAUUAACUAAGUUAGAGGAGAAGCAGUAGAGAUAAUUCUGUUCCAUCUAAAAUAGGAGUCAGCCUCUCUUCUUUCUGUGCCUCAUCUUCCCUGUGAAGCAGGGCUCUUCUCUGAUGACAGGUGUUACCUGACCCACCCCCACCCUAAGGUCUGAAAGUAGACACAGCCCUUGGUUCAAUCCAGGACCCAGGUAGGGCAAUCACACUGAUACACACUUGAAGUAGACUUGAUUUCUCCCCCAAAUCAGGUAAAGGAUAGCUUUGUAUCCCAAAUUUCAUUUUAGUAGAAAUCAGGAAGUUUAAGAAGUCCAUGGGAAAGGACAUUUUUCAUUUCAUUUGUUUUCAUUUUGACAAAAUUUGAUCUGAAACACAAGAACCUAGAGGUGGUUUUUAAAAACUGGUAGUGACAACAAUAAAAUACCUGUGAAUGAGAUAUUCAGGCUAAGCCAGAGACCAGUCCCAGUCCCGGUUUCCUGUGCAGCGGGGGAGAAGGAUACCCAUCUUUGUGGAAGGGGAAAGAGAAGUCAUGCUUGUUGAGUGAUGCCCCCAGCUCAGGAACUGGACCAAGCACUUAAAUAGCUGCAAUCUCAUGUAUUCACCAUAACCUCGAAAUUACGUGUCAUUAUUUAUUAGUGUUAUGCAAAAGAGGAAAAUGUGACUUUGUCACAUAGGAGAAAAAGAAUAUAUAGGUACCGUGAUAUUUUGAACUAUAUCCUCCAUUUAUUGGGUAUUUGGGGCUUGGAUUGAAGCCUAAGUUUCUAUUCUUGGCUUUCUUUUGAGAAAUUGCCACCUCGUCUCUUCGGUGAGAGUACAUUGAUAGCCUAUUAUUCCUGUCAUUGUCACUCCCUGGAUGCUACUCCUCUCACUGAGAUGGUAAGAAGGGCUGGAGAUCUGUAAGCCAUGGUUCCCUGCCAUCCUGAGUCUUCACCUGUGGCUCCUGAAGGUGAUCUCUGAGGAAGCUCGGGUAAGCCUUGUAGGCAGACAGUGGGACAUCUCACCUGACCCUCUACCAAUUCAAGUUAGGCAGCUCUUUUACUUCUGAUGGAGAGUUCCUGUGGGAGCAGCAUGGAGCACAUGUCUCCUCCCUGUGAGAUCUGGUCUUAGAAUGUGGUUAGGGACUGAACUGUGCCUUCUCCAAACCCUAAUUCAUAUAUUUAAACUCUAACCCUCAAUGUGACUAUAUUUGGAAAUGAAGUCUGUGAGGAAGUUGAAUAAGGUCAUAAGGGUGAAGCCUUAAUCCAAUAGGACUAAUGUCCUUUUAAGAAGAGGAAGAGACACAAAAGAUUUCUUUCUCUCCCUGUGCACAGAGCAGAGGCCAUGUGAGGACACAGCAGGAAGGCAGCCAUCUUCAAGCCAGGAAAAAAAGCCUUUCCAACAACCAACCCUCAUGGCACCUUGAUCUUUGACUUCUAGCCUCCAGAGCUGUGAGAAAGUAAAUUUCUGUUGUUGAAGCCA
Molecule: long non-coding RNA, 8448 nt
Organism: Neofelis nebulosa (Clouded leopard)
Lineage: Eukaryota; Metazoa; Chordata; Mammalia; Carnivora; Felidae
Exons: 7
Source: RefSeq, a predicted model, not a curated record